AUGAUUUCAAAACACUUGUAGGAGUAAGUCAUGUCUUGUGGGCGUCAUUUGUGAUCUUCUUGCUCCUGAAUAUUAAUGAUAAUCUUGGUGGUUGAAACAGAGCUUCAAGUUAUUAUGAAAAAAAUGGCUAUGGAAAUCUCAUACACCUGGGGCAUUUGUAGCUGUAGGGGCUGCUUUAUUGGUUGAAGCUGCAGUAUGGGUGAUCCAGAU
This is a long non-coding RNA of Impatiens glandulifera, 210 nucleotides long. RefSeq lists it as uncharacterized. NCBI's taxonomy places the organism in Eukaryota, Viridiplantae, Streptophyta, Magnoliopsida, Ericales, Balsaminaceae. The record is from RefSeq and is a predicted model, not a curated record. The transcript has 4 exons.